GAAAAUAUUCCCCUAUCAACACUGUUUUAUUUUAUGUUUCAGUUGAAGAUUUACUUUUACUUGUACACAUUUGAUAUUAUAAAUUUAUUAAGUAUAUAAAUAUUUGACAUAUGUGGAAUUUAUUCAUGGUACAUAUCUAUGCCUAACUCUUUAAUCUUGAGCAACCUAAUUUCACUUUUUGUGAGAAGGUACAAAGGCAUUACAAUCUAUAUUUUGCAUUAGUUUUGAAGUCUUUCGAGCAUAUGUGUCACUACUUUAUACUAAAGAGAGUUCGUUUCGUCUGUUUUUGUGCGAACAGUACAGAAAGCAACUCAUGUUUUUCAGAUAAAUAGUAAAGAAAGGUCAAUUUAUACGAUUUUAGGGAGACAGCACUUCAACCACACAAAUCAACUACUGAAACACUUCAAAUUUGAAAAAAAAGAGUAAAGUGUUUUAUUUUACACUUCCCUUUUCUCUCUCUCCCUCUUUUUAAUGUUUUUAUUGUUUCUUGUUAGCAUAAAAUAUUAUCAAGACAUGGAACAAGACUCGUACCUAUCAUAACAUCAAGCUAAUUAUUUAUAGAUGAGUAUAGUUCAUAUUAAGAUAAAGAAAAAUAUAAUGUGUGAAAACCCCAAACGCAAUCUUAGAGUGAAUUGUUUAUUGUUUUAUCGUAGGUAUGUGACUGGGAAUCUCAAUUACAAUUGAGAAUUAUUAUU
This 695-nucleotide long non-coding RNA is filed under the name Lathyrus oleraceus (garden pea). RNAcentral's name for it is "Pisum sativum (pea) long non-coding RNA (PSAT_LNC006953)". The record is from RNAcentral. Lineage: Eukaryota; Viridiplantae; Streptophyta; Magnoliopsida; Fabales; Fabaceae.